Molecule: ribosomal RNA, 1050 nt
Filed under: Mortierella elongatula
Lineage: Eukaryota; Fungi; Mortierellomycota; Mortierellomycetes; Mortierellales; Mortierellaceae
Description: LSU rRNA
Rfam family: Eukaryotic large subunit ribosomal RNA
Source: RNAcentral
GCAUAUCAAUAGCGGAGGAAAAAAAGAAACUAACAUGGAUUCCCCUAGUAACGGCGAGUGAAGCGGGAUGAGCUCAAAUUUAAAAUCUGACUGGUUUACCAGCCCCGAGUUGUAGUUUAAAGAAGCGUUUUCGGUGGCAGUCUCGGUAUAAAUCCUUUGGAAUAGGGUAUCAUAGAGGGUGAGAAAUCCCCGUCUUUGACUGAGAAUAUGCUACUAUGUGAUACGUUUUCAAAGAGUCGAGUUGUUUGGGAAUGCAGCUCAAAAUGGGUGGUAAAUUUCAUCUAAAGCUAAAUAUUGGCGAGAGACCGAUAGCGAACAAGUACCGUGAGGGAAAGAUGAAAAGAACUUUGAAAAGAGAGUUAAACAGUGCGUGAAAUUGUUGAAAGGGAAACGCUUGAAACCAGUCAUGCGGUUGGGAAAUCAGUCUCUGACGGGGGGGAAUGGGGGAGUUGUGGACCGCAAGGCCGCUCUUUUUCAUAUCUCUUUUGGCAGGGAUGCACUUUUUCUUCUGCAGGUCAACAUCAGUUUGCUUUGCCGGACAAAACUCUUGGGAAGGUGACAGCUUUGGCUGUGUUAUAGCCCUUGAGCGAUACGGUGGAGUGGACUGAGGUUUUCGCAGCAUGUGCUCUCGGGCAAGGCUGAUUGGGUGCUAUGAGAUCGUUCAGGGUACAAUACAUGUAUUUUGCCUUGUGUCUUUUUUAUACUCGCUCAACUCGGCUCUUCCCAUGCUUAGGAUGUUGACAUAAUGGUUUUAAUCGACCCGUCUUGAAACACGGACCAAGGAGUCUAACAUAUAUGCAAGUGUUUGGGUGGCAAACCCAUGCGCGUAAUGAAAGUGAACGUAGGUGCGAUCCGCAAGGUGCAGCAUCGACCGAUCUUUGAUAUUUUUUGGAUAGAUUUGAGUUAAGAGCAUUAUAUGCUGGGGACCCGAAAGGAUGGGUGAAACUAUGCCUGAAUAGGGGUGAAAGCCCAGAGGAAACUUCUGGUGGAGGCUCGUAGCGAUUCUUGACGUGCAAAUCGAUCGUCAAAUUUGGUAUAGGGGCGAAAGAC